Long non-coding RNA from Dromaius novaehollandiae (emu), 6335 nucleotides. RefSeq lists it as uncharacterized. Lineage: Eukaryota; Metazoa; Chordata; Aves; Casuariiformes; Dromaiidae. The record is from RefSeq and is a predicted model, not a curated record. The transcript has 2 exons.
GAGCUGCUGUUACCGGCAGGGAGCGUCUAGCGGCUGCCGCCCCUCGGCAGGAGAGACGAAUGCCGGGGGCUAGAGGCCAGGCUGGAGGGCGAGCGUGCCAGACCGACCCCCAGCCCACGCCGGCGCUCGGGCUCCUGCUGCCAGUGCCCAGGCCUGGGGCAGCUCACGCCGAUGAUAGCCGUGUGGAACAAAAGCUGUCUUUCGAGUGCUGAGCUAUGCUCCCUGUUUGACUCUUCUGCAAGCCUGGAAAGUUGUGGGGUGCUGCUAUGUCCUGCCAGGCUCCUUCCCCAGCAGAAACAGCAUCAGGGAGGACCAGGAAGACCAAUUAUCAGCAGAAAAUGAGAAGUCAUGAUGUCCAUCUGGCCUGGCACGUUAUAUGCGGUUUACCAGGGUGGAAACCCCUUUCAGAUAUACUUUCCCAAGUCACAGGUAAGGACCCUCUCUCACUGUGGUCACACUGGAGAGAUAGAUGAUAGAAAAGAGGUUUGAAAUCCUGCAGUACAAGCUUGGACUGGGAAAACAGCAAGUAAAUGGAAGAACACCUGAGGUCUGUCAUUUUCAAACUCAUGAUUUUGGGGUUCUAACUUCCCCUGACAGCUCUAACCCAGCUGGUGAUUCCAGUUACAAGCCAUGGCAGCACCUGUGUCCUUAGACCCAUGCCCUUCCUCAGCCCUUAGGCUACUCUGGCUUUCAAUCAACAGGCCUGGUGAGAUAUCACUGAAUGGCUCCCAAAGCUUCGCUUACCAGGGAGACACUGUAUUGUGAGCUCCUUUCAGUGCCACACUCUAGUCUUCACAUCUUAUUUGACAGAAAAAAGGGGGACCCCCCUCCACAAAAUCACUCUGGAAAUAAGCCUCCCAAUUUUAACUACCCAUCCUAUUGCAGUGCUGAGCAAAGAUUUGCUUCAGAAGAAAAAUCUUGUUCUCUGCUAUCAAGCCUACCAAAUUGCAGAAAACCAGCUAUGAGCUUCUGUAAUAAGAAACUGGCUGAGCCUAACAGGGAAGUGAAAUGCAUUAGUCACACCCUCCUGCCACCCCUCACACACUAAGCCCAGAGCUGCAGCAGUACAAACGCACUAAAAACCUCUGUAAGGCUAUACAGGUCCCUGCUGGACUACAUUCAACUGCACAGGGUGUGAUGUACCCCAAUGCAGUUGGAAAUGAAGGCAGAGGAGGGCACAUCUGCUGAAGCCAAGCAGAGACCAUAGCGUGAGCAAUAAGGAGACAUUUUCUUAGGUGGAUCACACACAUCUCACACUCCACAAUGUGGUCUUUGCAGCAAAAGAACCAGCGCCUCCCCAGCAUGUACUUGAUCCUUUAAACUUACUUCAGCCACUUACAUAUGGCUGGGGAACACUGAGCUGCAUAAAACACAUUUCCACUUAUCUGCAGAACUUGGGGAUGGGUCAAAGUGUCCUGUCACAGGGUGGCCGUGAUUUGACCACAUGCAUCAGUCAAACUCUCCAGCCAGCCCACCUCCCAGGACAGUGACAUUUCAAAUCAGAAGAUGGUAAGUGUCUCUUCCCAAGUUAAUUCUCUCUCCUCACUACUGAGGAAAAGCUUAAAAUAAAACCAACUCACAAAAUAACUAAGAGAAUUGUACCACUGUUCUGGAGAGCAGGAGCUGUGCUCUCUCAGCCAGAGGAGCUGGGGCUGGCAAAGCGCAUUCAUCUUGUAAUGCCACUGUCACUCCCUGUCCAUUCCUCAUUUUGCCCUGGGGACAGCAGGUGCAUAGGGAGAGGCAAAACACCUACUGACAGAGCUCAUGGUUGUGGCCCUCACGGCUCUGCACUCCCAAGAUGCACCAGAGCCUAGCAGAACUCUGCACACUGGGGAAAAAUAACAGUUUGAGCCAUGCCAGCUUUACCAAGAGCUAUGAAGAGCUUCAAAGAUGGCUACAGAAGACAGUGCCAACUAUAAUACCUCCACCUUCUCUAAAUCCACUGCACUCCCUAGAACAGGGAGCAACAACAGGAGAUGUGGCUCAUUGCCCAUGAGCUACCCACAGCACCGGUUACAGAACAGGUUUCCCUUUCAAACAUCCAUGGUGUGCAUGAUCGCUGCUGGGGAGUUACAACCAAGACCCUAUUUUAAAGGAGUGCAACUAAGGCAACUUAAGCAAAUCAUCAAACUCCCAUUUUUCUAAACAAAGUUCCAGAUUGAAGUCGGGUCAGGCACAUGCCAAUGUACGCAAUGUGCCUGUCAAGGCUGAUGGAGCAGCUCAGUGGCUUUUCAACAGUGACUCAGAAAUAGCUGCUGCUGAAGCCACUGAGCCCGUUGUGCUCUCCCACUUUCAGAGCUUGUCUAGCCUCUGUCUCGGUCAUGAUCUAUAGCACAUGAUCUGUUUUGACAAGCACAGAGAGGAAAUGUCUCCUUGUGCAAACUGAGAGUUACCCAAGGGUUGUGUUGUACAAAAGCAGCAGCUAAGAGGAUCCUUCACUGCCUUCAUCUGUAGAAACAAACAUUCCCCAGCCAGGCCAAUAUAUUGCUGUUCUUCAAAGAAAAGCUUAUUUUAGGUUAGAAGGCCACUUCAUACGCUUAGGCAGAAUCAGUCAUUAGGAAUAGACCCUUUUGACCACUGCUGUCUUCCAACAUGAGACCUGCUGCAGGACAGAUCGCUCUCUAAAGAGGCUGUGAGAGAGACCUUGAGUUUAAUCAGAAUUGGGAGCAGCACAAGCAAUGACAUGGGCUGUGCAAGUAUAAAAAGACUGUCUUGGAAACGGAAGGUCAAGCUUCUUGCAGAAGAACUAAGCGUGUGUCAAAGAAGGAUCAGAAGAGGCAUUGGAAAAGGAACCAGCAACUGGAAUGCCUCUCACUGUCGUAUCACAUCCCCCAGCCUUGUUGUGGUGCUGCCACUGCUUGCAUUACGUGAACAACACAAGUCUUGAGCUCCAGGUUUUGCCUGGACUUGCCUUGGUCUGUCUGCAGCUACAUUUUAGCUGUAACAGUUAUCUAAUGACCAGGUGAAUAUUACCUGCAUUGUUUUAGUUUAUGUACAAUUGUGUGGUGCAACACUUACUGUUAUGUAUUUUUUUAUAACUAAUAGAUAGCAGGUGCUAGGGAGAGGCCUAUAUAAUUUGCAGGCCGAGAACAGAGCUCCCAGAGCAAAGCUAAUAGAAGCAGCCCACAGACCCAGCAGUUUGUGCAGAAAGGCACGCAGAAGGGGGCUAGCAUACACGUCCUCAGCAACAGUGGUGACAUGCUGCAGGGCACAGUCUCCAAGCCCCCUCCAGAGCAAAUGGCCCUGGCACAUCAGAGGCCUUGACCCAGGCCAAGCUCCUGAGGAAGGAUGCAGCUGUGCAGGCCUGGGGCUGCGGAGCUGCCUGGGGCCUCUGCUGCAGCUGUUGCUGGCAGGGAUGUGCUCCUGGCUCACAGGAGGUGUGCGCUGGGGAAGGUCUAGGUCACCAAGGAAAGGAGCUGUGAGGGGAGGUCAGCAGACUGUGCAGUAUCAGGAAUGACAAAAAAGAGAUUGACUGGGUGUUCUCCAAGACCCUGCAACUUCAAGAACCUGAACCCCUGCCUGCACCAAAGGAGGCACAGGCAGCAUCUGAGCUUAUCCAGGUGGGAAAUGAAGACUCCCAUGAUGAGGAAGGCUGGAAGCUUGUGACUUCUAGCAACAGGAGGGAGCCUUCUGCUCUGCCUACACCUCUGCAACUACAGCAUAGGUUCAGUGCCCUUGCAGAAGAUGUAGACCUGGGAGUCAUAUCCAAUGAAACGUCCAAACAGGCUGAGCCUGAGCUACACAGCAGCACUGGGAGGAAGCGGAGUGAUACUAAUAGGAGACUCACUGCUGCAGGGGACCGAGGCCCCCAUUUGCCAGCCUGACCUCACUGUUUGCCAGGGGCUCACAUCCGGGAUGCUGGAGAGGCUGCCUAGGCUUGUCCAGCCCUCAAACCGUUACCCGCUGCUGCUCUUCCUUGUGGGCACUUACAAUUACAAAGGGAAAACCUGGAGCAUAUCAAGCAUGACUACAUGGCUCUGGAGGCAACAGCCAAUGGUGGUUUUCUCAUUGAUCCCGCUGGUAAGGGGGAAGGGCUUGAGGGUGAACAGAUGGGUCCUGCUGGUUGACAACUGGUUACACAGCUGGUGUCAAUGAAGGCAUUCAGCUUUUAUGACCAUGGGAUGCUCUUUGAGGAUCAAGGAUUACAAGGAAGAAGUGGGAUCCACCUGACCAAAUUGGGUAAAAGCAUCUUUGUCAAGCUGGCAAAGGCUGGCCAACCUUUGGUGGAAGAGGAUCAAGUUAGGGAACACUUAAGCAAACUGAACAUAAACAAGUUCACUGGCCUUAAGGGGAUGUGCUCGCGAGUGCUGAGGGAGCUGGCCAGUGUCAUUGCAAGGCCACUUUUGAUCAUCUUUGAAAGACUGCAAUUGGGGGAAGGCUCCUGAGGCCUGGAAGAAAGCAAAUGCCACUCCUAUCUUCAAGAGAGCCAAGAAGAAAGAACUGGGGAACUAGAAGCUGGUCACCCUGCCCUCACUGCCUGGGAAGGUGAUAGAGCAAAUCCUCCUGAAAACCAUUUCCAAGUAUAUUAAGGACAAGAAGGUGAUCAGGAGUAGUCAGCCUGAAUUUAUGAAGUGGAAAUCAUGCCUGACCAAGCUAAGAGCUUUCUACAGUGAAACAACUGUCUCAGUAGAUGGAGGAAGAGCAGCAGAUGUUGUUUAUCUUGACUUCAGCAAGGUAUUUGACUCCAUUUCCCAUAACAUCCUCAUAGACGAACUGAUGAAGUAUGGGCUGAAGAAGUGGACAGUAAGAUGGAUUGAAAGCCAGCUGACCUACCAGGCUCAAAGGGUUGUGAUCAGCAGCACAAUGUCCAGCUGGAGGCCAGUCACCAGCAGUAUGCCCCAUGUGUCAAAACUGGGGCCAAUACUGUUUAACAUCUUCAUUAAUGACCUGAAUGGUGGGAGAGAGUGCACCCUCAGCAAUGUGCAGAUGACAAAACUGAGGAGUGCCUGAUAGACCAGAUUGUAGUGCUGCCAUUCAGAAGGACCUGGACAGGCUGAAGAAAUGGGCAGAGAGGAACCUCAUGAAGUUUAACACAGGGAAUUGCAAAGUCCUGCACCUGGGGAGGAAUAACCCUGCGCACCAGUACAGGUUGCAGGCUGACCUGCUGGAAAGCUGCUUGGCAGUAAAGGACCUGGGGCUCCUGGUGGACAAGUUGGACAUGAGCCAGGAAUGUGCCCUCAUGGAAAGAAGGCCAACAGCAUCCUGGGCUGCAUUAGGCAGAGUACUGCCAGCAGGUUAAGGGAGGUGAUCCUUUCCCUCUACUCAGCACUAGUGAGGCCACAUCUGGAGGGCUGGGUCCAGUUCUGAGCUCCCCAGUACAAGAGAGACACAAGUCCAGCAAAGAAUCAUGAAGAUGAUUAAGGGGUUGGAGCAUCUGUCGCAGGGGGGAGACACAGAGCUGGGACUGUUCAGCCUGGAGAAGACUCGGGGGGAAUCUUAUCAAUGUGUAUAAAUAACUGAUAGGGGGAGUACCAGAGACAGAACCAGACUCUUCCUAGUGGUAUCCAGUGAAAGGACAAGAGGCAAUGGGCACAAACUGAAAUACAGGAAAUUCAAUUGAAACAUAAGAAAAAAACUUUUUUUUACUGGGAGGGUGGUCAAACACUGGAGCAGGUUGCCCAGAGAAACUGUAGAGUCUCCAUCCUUGGAGAUGCUCAAAACCCAAUCGGACACAGCCCUGAGCAACCAGCCGUAGGUGACUCUGCUCAAAGCAGGUUGGACUAGACAGUCUCCAGAGGUGCCUUCCAACUUCAAUGAUUCAGUGAUUCUAUAAAUAACAAGUAGUUCUGCAAAGAAUGGACUAUCUAUGAGAUGCCAGAAUGGAGGAAAAAAAGGGGAAGGGGGUAGAGGCAUAUGGUCACAGGAUGAUACUGCAGGCCCUAUGCUGUAAGCAACUCACCAGCAGUCAAUUGCUGGCUAGAGUAACCGGGAAUUGGAUAAAACCAGUUUUAGGGAUAACGAAGAACAAGUAUCCAACAUAUGUAAAACACUUCAUAAACAGUAAGUUUGGAUGGGAUGUGGAAUGGCAAAUCAAUGAACCCAAGACUGAAGAGAAAUAAAGCCAUGAACAUUGUACUUCCCAUGAAGGAGACUGUAAACUCCCUACCUCCAGCUGAAGCUAUAGACCUUAGGACCUAAGGGGGCAGUGGAAGGGUGAGCAUAACACCAAGGAAAGGAGUAAAUACUAGAAAGUUUGCAUGUAUCAUUUAACUGUAUAAUGAUACUAAUGCUUAUAGUCAAAUUAUAUAACUAGAUUAAUAAUAAUUCUUAUUAAUAAUUCUUUGAUUAGACUGAAAACUUUAACUAGACCAACAAUAAAUUCUUAGCUUUGUAUA